CUCUUAUCGAGAGUUGGCUGAGGGAUUUGGCCCUGAGACGCCCGGCAACCGACCUUCCGUGAUCAAGCGGAAACCUCCUAGAAGGUGUAAGGCACGGUGCUACUUCCAACAGGUAUUUUCACCUGAGAGAUAAGAG
Molecule: non-coding RNA, 136 nt
Filed under: Bacillus sp. (in: firmicutes)
Lineage: Bacteria; Bacillati; Bacillota; Bacilli; Caryophanales; Bacillaceae
Description: Bacillus sp. SAM-I sequence
Rfam family: SAM riboswitch aptamer (S box leader)
About the family: The SAM riboswitch is found upstream of a number of genes which code for proteins involved in methionine or cysteine biosynthesis in Gram-positive bacteria. The SAM riboswitch acts at the level of transcription termination control. The predicted structure consists of a complex stem-loop region followed by a single stem loop terminator region.
Source: RNAcentral